This 492-nucleotide ribosomal RNA is filed under the name uncultured bacterium. RNAcentral describes it as "partial 16S ribosomal RNA". It matches the Rfam family "Bacterial small subunit ribosomal RNA", at positions 28 to 507 of the family's 1533-position model. The record is from RNAcentral.
GAUGAACGCUAGCUACAGGCUUAACACAUGCGAGUCGAGGGGAAACGACAUCGAAAGCUUGCUUUUGAUGGGCGUCGACCGGCGCACGGGUGAGUAACGCGUAUCCAACCUGCCCAUCACUUGGGAAUAACCUUGCGAAAGUAAGACUAAUACCCAAUGACAUCCCACGAAGACAUCUGAAUGGGAUUAAAGAUUUAUCGGUGAUGGAUGGGGAUGCGUCUGAUUAGCUUGUUGGCGGGGUAACGGCCCACCAAGGCAACGAUCAGUAGGGGUUCUGAGAGGAAGGUCCCCCACAUUGGAACUGAGACACGGUCCAAACUCCUACGGGAGGCAGCAGUGAGGAAUAUUGGUCAAUGGGCGAGAGCCUGAACCAGCCAAGUAGCGUGCAGGAUGACGGCCCUAUGGGUUGUAAACUGCUUUUAUAAGGGAAGAAAGUGGGUCUCGGGAGACUUUUUGCAUGUACCUUAUGAAUAAGGACCGGCUAAUUCCGUG